Molecule: ribosomal RNA, 256 nt
Filed under: uncultured bacterium
Lineage: Bacteria
Description: partial 16S ribosomal RNA
Rfam family: Bacterial small subunit ribosomal RNA
Source: RNAcentral
UACAGAGGGGGCAAGCGUUGUUUCGGAAUUACUGGGCGUAAAGGGUGCGUAGGCGGGUCUUUUAAGUCAGGGGUGAAAUCCUGGAGCUCAACUCCAGAACUGCCUUUGAUACUGAAGAUCUUGAGUUCGGGGAGAGGUGAGUGGAACUGCGAGUGUAGAGGUGAAAUUCGUAGAUAUUCGCAAGAACACCAGUGGCGAAGGCGGCUCACUGGCCCGAUACUGACGCUGAGGCACGAAAGCGUGGGUAGCAAACAGG